Hyla sarda is the source of this 3948-nucleotide long non-coding RNA. RefSeq lists it as uncharacterized. Lineage: Eukaryota; Metazoa; Chordata; Amphibia; Anura; Hylidae. The transcript is spliced from 2 exons. The record is from RefSeq and is a predicted model, not a curated record.
UUCUAGCACCAGUUGAUUUAAAAAAAAAAAAAAAAAUGUUUUCCAGUGGAGUUCCUCCAUGUAAAGCCCUAUACCCUGCGCACCCCGCUGACAGAAAGGUGGUGCCUGCUGCAAGUGGCGGAACUCUGCAGUGUGAAUGAGCUCUUAAAGGGAUUAUUCAGGAAUAGAAAAAUACAGCUAAUUUCUUUCAAAAACAGCACCACGUCUGUCUCCAGGUUGGGUGUGGUUCUGCAGCUCAGUUCCAUUUGAGUGAAUGGAGCCAAGUUGUAAUACCACACCCAAAGUGGAGACAGACGGGGAGCGGUUUUUGAAAGAAAUUAGCUGAAUUUUUCUAUUCCUGUAUAACUCCUUUAAUUGACACAGCCUAAAAACAGGUCAGGGUUAAGGCCCCCCCAUACAGAUUAGACAAUCUAAACUGGAUUGGCCAAUCAUCUAAAGUGUAUGGGGCCUCCCGACUCUUCCCUAACAGAUGAUACCAGGGAUGAGAAGAAUGGGGCAUGUUGAAUUUUAACAGCAAAAUUGUUUUGUCUUGGAAAGAUAAGCCACCCCCGGAGGUGUCUGGCAGCUCAUCAGGUCCGGUCUGGCAGACCAUCAUAGACCCCACCUGGCCGCAUUACGAUUUUUGCACCCGUUGAGUUGAUAUAUGAUCCUGUCCUUAAAGAUCAUAUAGAAUCCUAUAUCUAGACAGAUCCAUUGACUUUUAUUGACAAAUCAUAUUUUCUUUCCGAUAUAAAUUGUACCCGUUUUUUUUUUUUUUUUUUUAAACAUUAUUGUCUAUGUAAAUCGCAUCGAAAUCGUAUCUGUAAAUUUUUAUUCGCGAAAUCGUACACAUUUUUUUUACACUUACGCCAUAGAAAAUCAAGUAACAUUAAAACAGAUAUAUAUAUAUAUAUAUAUAUAUUUAUUUAUUUAUUUAUUUAAUAAAAUGGACAAAAUUGUGUAAAAACCUUCUACCAUAUGACAGAACUGAUACAAAUCCAUAUGGUUUUAGGCCAUCCGUUUUAAGAAAAUGCUGCAAAAAUCGUAAUGUGAAUGCGGCCUUAAUACUUUCUUCAGAUAAUGCGCAGUAACAUGUCCAUAGAUAGCAAAACAUGCAGUCCCGGGCUAAACCAGUGUUUCCAACCAGUGUGCCUCCAGCUGUUGCAAAACUACAACUCCCAGCAUGCCCAGACAGCCUUCGGCUGUCUGGGCAUGCUGGGAGUUGUGGUUUUGAAACAGCUGGAGGCACACUGGAUAGAAAACACUGCUCUGAACCUUUAUUGUUUUAUUGACCAAUUUCUAAUCUGGUUUAACCCCCGGGCUGCUUAUUUCAAGUUCAUUGUAAAAUGUUGUCGCCGUUUUUGCGCCAGAAAGUGUACAAACAACACUGCUGUAAACAUGUAGGCGGGAUUCAUAGCAGCCAAUCAGAUUCAUGUUUUUCUGAUGACAAGAUUGGAAGUCUGAUUGGUUGCUACAGGCAACGCCGACCCUAUUUUUUUUGUUCUUUAGUCUGCACUACUUUUGAUACAUAAGGCCAAUGUGCCUUGUUACCCAUAGCAACCAAGCUGUUGCAGUUGUGAAAGUGAAAGUAGAACUCUCCUUGGUUGCUGAGACCAUCAGGCCCCGUAGUUAUAGAUAUCUCAUUGGUCACAUCAUCGCAUAUUUCUGCAGGGAAAAAGUCAAAGUGCCCCCACAACGUGCCCCUCAUCAUGGCAUUUACGUCAUACGGCACAAUCACUUACGGUUAUUUUGGAUAGUACAUGAGUGGUGACGCAUAAGUGAUACCCGUUGCCCGGUCACGAUACAGGAGUCCAUUUUGCGAGCCCGAACAUUGUUGACGCACAGGGUUAAUCUCAUGGGUAGUACUAACAUGGGUUUCUCCUUUUAAGAGUGCUAUUCGUAGGAGGCCAUUUUGUGGAAGUUCAUAAGAUGGCAGUACAUGGGAUUACACGCAUGGACAUCAGUUGUAACACGCCUUCAAUUUUAUUAAAGGGGUUAUCCAGGGAAAAACUUUUUUUUUAUAUAUCAACUGGCUCCAGAAAGUUAAACAGAUUUGUAAAUUGCUUCUAUAAAAAAAAAAAAUCUUCAUCCUUUCAGCACUUAUGAGCUUCUGAAGUUGAGUUAUUCUUUUCUGUCUAAGUGCUCUCUGAUGACACCUGUCUCGGGAACUGCCCAGUUUAGAAGCAAAUCCCCAUAGCAAACCUCUUCUACUCUGCGCAGUUCCCGUGACAAGCAGAGAUGUCAGCAGAGAGCACUGUUGCCAGACAGAAAACAACAACUCAACUUCAGCAGCUGAUAAUUAUUGAAAGGAUUAAGAUUUUUUAAUAGAAGUCAUUAACAAAUCUGUUUAACUUUCUGAAGCCAGUUGAUCUAAAAAAAAAUUAUUUUUUAUUUCCUGGAAUACCCCUUUAAAGGGGUACUCCGGUGAAAACCUUUUUUCUUUUAAAUCAACUGGUGGCAGAAAGUUAAACAUAUUUGUAAAUUACUUCUAUUAAAAAAUCUUAAUCCGUCCAGUACUUAUUAGCUGCUGAAUGCUACAGAGGAAAUUCCUUUCUUUUUCGAACAUUGAUGACAUCAUGAGCACAGUGCUCUCUGCUGACAUCUCUGUCCAUUUUAUCAACCAUGCAUAGCAGAUGUAUGCUAAGGGCAGCAUGGUGGCUCAGUGGUUAGCACUGCUGCCUUGCAGUGCUGGGGACUUGGGUUCAAAUCCCACUAAGGACAACAAUAAAUAAAGCCUUAUUAUUAUUAUAAUAACGUCAGCAGAGAGAACUGUGCUCGUGAGGUCAUCAGAGAGCAGUCCAAAAAGAAAAGAAUUUCCUCUGUAGUAGUCAGCAGCUAAUAAGUACAGGAAGGAUUAAGAUUUUUUUAAUAGAAGUAAUUUACAAAUUGUCACGAUGCCGGCUGGCAGGAGGUGGAUCCUCUGUGCCAGAGAGGGAUUGGCGUGGACCGUGCUAGUGGACCGGUUCUAAGUCACUACUGGUUUUCGCCAGAGCCCGCCGCAAAGCGGGAUGGUCUUGCUGCGGCGGUAGUGACCAGGUCGUAUCCACUAGCAACGGCUCAACCUCUCUGACUGCUGAAGAUAGGCGCGGUACAAGGGAGUAGACAGAAGCAAGGUCGGACGUAGCAGAAGGUCGGGGCAGGCAGCAAGGAUCGUAGUCAGGGGCAACGGCAGGAGGUCUGGAACACAGGCUAGGAACACACAAGGAAACGCUUUCACUGGCACGAUGGCAACAAGAUCCGGCGAGGGAGUGCAGGGGAAGUGAGGUAUACAUAGGGAGUGCACAGGUGAAGACACUGAUUAGAACCACUGCGCCAAUCAGCGGCGCAGUGGCCCUUUAAAUCGCAGAGACCCGGCGCGCGCGCGCCCUAGGGAGCGGGGCCGCGCGCGCCGGGACAGGACCGACGGAGAGCGAGUCAGGUACGGGAGCUGGGGUGCGCAUCGCGAGCGGGCGCGACCCGCAUCGCGAAUCGCAUCCCGGCUGGAGGCGGUAUCGCAGUGUACCCGGUCAGUGGAUCUGACCGGAGCGCUGCAGUAGCGAGAGUGUAGCGAGCGCUCCGGGGAGGAGCGGGGACCCGGAGCGCUCGGCGUAACACAAAUAUCUUUAACUUUCUGCCACCAGUUGAUUUAAAAGAAAAAAGGUUUUCACCGGAGUACCCCUUUAAGGUCAUUGACAGGUCACACACUAUAGGCCGCCCCCUGCUGUGUGUCAGCGGCAAACUCUAUGCCAGUGGUCCGCAGGUUGGAGACCACUGCUCUACGCCAUGGGAGACAGUGAUGUGACAGGCCUCACGGGGUGCGUAGCUGUGUCUGUGGAUGAGAGGAUUAUGACUUGCAUGUGAGGAGACGCUCAUUUGAGCUGCUUUGGGAGGGAGACAUUUUCUUCUUUAAAAUCUUUUUAUCUGUGCCAAACCCCAUGUCUCUUGUAAAUAUGACCCGAUUCUUCAUUAAAGUAAUUUAUUUCAGCUCUU